This 1093-nucleotide long non-coding RNA is filed under the name Sus scrofa (pig). RNAcentral's name for it is "lncRNA (ENSSSCG00070008084.1)". The record is from RNAcentral. Lineage: Eukaryota; Metazoa; Chordata; Mammalia; Artiodactyla; Suidae.
GCAUAUUGACAGAUAAUACAUAUUAAAAUAUGAUUGUGAUGUGCUUAGUGCUUUGUGUUCGCGGGUCCUAUAUGCCAGCCCGGACUGACAAUUGCCUGAGUAUAAACAUGGGACAGUUGAACAGUGACGCACGGUUUUUUUCAGGAAGCAUGUUUCAGGUGUUUUUUGUUUUUUAAAGAGUGAACAAUUGUAUUUUUGAUCCAGUGUUCCCUGACAUUCAGUUGUGGGAUCCCGGUGCUUUUGGACAGGAAAACUUGUGGCCAAGGCUCAUGGGUUGCUCUGCUGCCCCCAAGUGGUGUGGGAACCUGGGAGAAUCUCCCUAUCUCCAUGAACCACAGUGUCUUCAUCAGGAAGAUAAAGUCCUUCCAAUACUCGAAAUUCCUCUCCUGCUGAGUUUUUUGUUUUUUUUUUUCUUUCCCUGCAUGCCUGUGGGUCCGAGAUGCAUGUUGCAUGUGCCCUGGGAACUGCAGCCAAGUCUUGACUUUGGUCCCUUGUCUGUGUUUUUCCUGCAGGAGCCUGAACUGAGUCCACACACUGAACUCACAGACCUGCAGGAGGAGAUGGAAGAAAGAAAACCAGCAGGUUUUGAGGAUGAGAAGAACCCAAGUAAUAGCAGAGGAGGUGCUGUGCAGGAGAGAUUGCUGCAGUGGCAUCCAGGACUGUCAGUGGAAGUGGGGAAUGACAUGACACCACCUUUCGGACACCCAACUGGCAAGAGGCCCUGGCUCUCCUGCCACGUGUCACCAUGGCAGUGUCUCUUGGCCCUUCAUCAGACUUGAGGGCACAACACAAACUCAUGCGAGAGAACCAGGAGCUUCAGCGGCAGCUGGCCCAGAGCAAGCAGGACUUCCGAGACCUCAGGGAGAAAUUCCUUGUAUCCAAAGCUGCUGCCUACUCCCUGGCCAACCAGCUGCAGAAAUACCGUACGUCCUAGGGGUCGGGGGCAACCAAGCGAUGAGUGGUCACUGGCUUCCUUCUAGGAAAGGAAACACUCUCCAGACUUGAUCUUCUCUCCCUUUGUCAAAAUGAAGUUUCAUUCUGACCACAAUCCAGGGCAGGCAGAGGUGGCUCUUUCUCCCUCAGUUGGCAGAGG